Molecule: transfer RNA, 90 nt
Filed under: Klebsiella pneumoniae
Lineage: Bacteria; Pseudomonadati; Pseudomonadota; Gammaproteobacteria; Enterobacterales; Enterobacteriaceae
Also listed under: 4 other names
Description: tRNA-Ser
Rfam family: tRNA
About the family: Transfer RNA (tRNA) molecules are approximately 80 nucleotides in length. Their secondary structure includes four short double-helical elements and three loops (D, anti-codon, and T loops).
Source: RNAcentral
GGAAGGUUGUCAGAGAGGCCGAUUGUACCUGACUUGAAAUCAGGAGGUGCAGAGAUGCGCCCGAAGGUUCGAAUCCUUCACCUUCCACCA